AACGAACGCUGGCGGCAUGCCUAACACAUGCAUGUCGAACGAGACCUUCGGGUCUAGUGGCGCACGGGUGCGUAACGCGUGGGAACCUGCCCUUAGGUUCGGAAUAACUCCCCGAAAGGGGUGCUAAUACCGGAUAAUGUCUUCGGACCAAAGAUUUAUCGCCUUUGGAUGGGCCCGCGUUGGAUUAGCUAGUUGGUAGGGUAAAAGCCUACCAAGGCGACGAUCCAUAGCUGGUCUGAGAGGAUGAUCAGCCACACUGGGACUGAGACACGGCCCAGACUCCUACGGGAGGCAGCAGUGGGGAAUAUUGGACAAUGGGCGAAAGCCUGAUCCAGCAAUGCCGCGUGAGUGAUGAAGGCCUUAGGGUUGUAAAGCUCUUUUACCCGGGAUGAUAAUGACAGUACCGGGAGAAUAAGCGCCGGCUAACUCCGUG
RNAcentral lists this ribosomal RNA (433 nucleotides) under uncultured bacterium. RNAcentral's name for it is "partial 16S ribosomal RNA". It matches the Rfam family "Bacterial small subunit ribosomal RNA", at positions 29 to 507 of the family's 1533-position model. The record is from RNAcentral.